GCAAACUUGGUCAUUUAGAGGAAGUAAAAGUCGUAACAAGGUCUCCGUUGGUGAACCAGCGGAGGGAUCAUUACUAGAAGAGCUUCAAACCUCUCUAAACCCACUGUGAAUCUACCUGUUCGUUGCUUCGGCGGGCUACCCCAGGGCGGGGUUGAGGCCUGCGAAGGCGCCCGCCGAAGUCGACACCACCAACUCUUGGCAACAACUGUCAUCUGAGAUUAAAGACUAAAUAAGUCAAAACUUUCAACAACGGAUCUCUUGGUUUGGGCAUCGAUGAAGAACGCAGC
RNAcentral lists this unclassified non-coding RNA (287 nucleotides) under uncultured fungus. RNAcentral's name for it is "partial contains small subunit ribosomal RNA, internal transcribed spacer 1, and 5.8S ribosomal RNA". The stretch from base 1 to 73 matches the Rfam family "Eukaryotic small subunit ribosomal RNA", at positions 1759 to 1831 of the family's 1831-position model. Lineage: Eukaryota; Fungi. The record is from RNAcentral.